Molecule: unclassified non-coding RNA, 240 nt
Filed under: uncultured Russula
Lineage: Eukaryota; Fungi; Basidiomycota; Agaricomycetes; Russulales; Russulaceae
Description: sequence contains ITS2
Source: RNAcentral
ACAUCCUCAACCUGCUCGGUUUUUAUCAAACCAAGUAGGCUUGGAAUUUGGAGGCUUUCUGCUGGCCUCCUCCGAAGCCAGCUCCUCUUAAAUCUAUCAGUGGGAUCCGCUUUGCCAGAUCCUCGACGUUGAUAACAUCCUUCUACGUCUUGGCUCUCGCGCUUUCCACUGACCGUCCCAUCGUGGACAACGUUCGAGCCGAUCGCCCUUCACGGGGUGAGAAGCUUUCGACCCAUCGAA